RNAcentral lists this ribosomal RNA (1343 nucleotides) under uncultured bacterium. RNAcentral describes it as "16S ribosomal RNA". It matches the Rfam family "Bacterial small subunit ribosomal RNA", at positions 28 to 1378 of the family's 1533-position model. The record is from RNAcentral.
GACGAACGCUGGCGGCGUGCUUAACACAUGCAAGUCGAACGGAAAGGCCCUGCUUUUGUGGGGUGCUCGAGUGGCGAACGGGUGAGUAACACGUGAGUAACCUGCCCUUGACUUUGGGAUAACUUCAGGAAACUGGGGCUAAUACCGGAUAGGAGCUCCUGCUGCAUGGUGGGGGUUGGAAAGUUUCGGCGGUUGGGGAUGGACUCGCGGCUUAUCAGCUUGUUGGUGGGGUAGUGGCUUACCAAGGCUUUGACGGGUAGCCGGCCUGAGAGGGUGACCGGCCACAUUGGGACUGAGAUACGGCCCAGACUCCUACGGGAGGCAGCAGUGGGGGAUAUUGCACAAUGGGCGGAAGCCUGAUGCAGCAACGCCGCGUGCGGGAUGACGGCCUUCGGGUUGUAAACCGCUUUCGCCUGUGACGAAGCGUGAGUGACGGUAAUGGGUAAAGAAGCACCGGCUAACUACGUGCCAGCAGCCGCGGUGAUACGUAGGGUGCGAGCGUUGUCCGGAUUUAUUGGGCGUAAAGGGCUCGUAGGUGGUUGAUCGCGUCGGAAGUGUAAUCUUGGGGCUUAACCCUGAGCGUGCUUUCGAUACGGGUUGACUUGAGGAAGGUAGGGGAGAAUGGAAUUCCUGGUGGAGCGGUGGAAUGCGCAGAUAUCAGGAGGAACACCAGUGGCGAAGGCGGUUCUCUGGGCCUUUCCUGACGCUGAGGAGCGAAAGCGUGGGGAGCGAACAGGCUUAGAUACCCCGGUAGUCCACGCUGUAAACGGUGGGUACUAGGUGUGGGGUCCAUUCCACGGGUUCCGUGCCGUAGCUAACGCUUUAAGUACCCCGCCUGGGGAGUACGGCCGCAAGGCUAAAACUCAAAGGAAUUGACGGGGCCCCGCACAAGCGGCGGAGCAUGCGGAUUAAUUCGAUGCAACGCGUAGAACCUUACCUGGGUUUGACAUGGAUCGGGAGUGCUCAGAGAUGGGUGUGCCUCUUUUGGGGUCGGUUCACAGGUGGUGCAUGCCUGUCGUCAGCUCGUGUCGUGAGAUGUUGGGUUAAGUCCCGCAACGAGCGCAACCCUUGUUCACUGUUGCCAGCACGUUAUGGUGGGGACUCAGUGGAGACCGCCGGGGUCAACUCGGAGGAAGGUGGGGAUGACGUCAAGUCAUCAUGCCCCUUAUGUCCAGGGCUUCACGCAUGCUACAAUGGCUGGUACAGAGAGUGGCGAGCCUGUGAGGGUGAGCGAAUCUCGGAAAGCCGGUCUCAGUUCGGAUUGGGGUCUGCAACUCGACCUCAUGAAGUCGGAGUCGCUAGUAAUCGCAGAUCAGCAACGCUGCGGUGAAUAAGGUCCCGGG